RNAcentral lists this ribosomal RNA (253 nucleotides) under uncultured bacterium. RNAcentral's name for it is "partial 16S ribosomal RNA". It matches the Rfam family "Bacterial small subunit ribosomal RNA", at positions 524 to 776 of the family's 1533-position model. The record is from RNAcentral.
UACAGAGGGUGCAAGCGUUGUUCGGAAUUAUUGGGCGUAAAGCGCGUGUAGGCGGCCAUUUAAGUCUGGUGUGAAAUCCCUCGGCUCAACCGAGGAAGUGCAUUGGAUACUGAAUGGCUAGAGGAUGAGAGAGGAGAGUGGAAUUCCCGGUGUAGGGGUGAAAUCCGUAGAUAUCGGGAGGAACACCAGAGGCGAAGGCGGCUCUCUGGCUCAUUUCUGACGCUGAGACGCGAAAGCGUGGGGAGCAAACAGG